CGCGCCCUCGGUCACGGCCGGGGGAGGCCGGGAACGCCCCGGGAUGCCGUGAGCUCUGCCUUUCACUGCCUUCUGGCCUCAGCCCUCCGCUUCGCCUUAAACUGAGCCCGAGCACAGAGAGACGCCAACAGCACGGGCAAUAUGGAAGCCAUUUCACAGACGCACAUCCAGCCCGCUUACAGCAAUUGGAACCUGUCUGCAAACGAGCCGCCUGGGGGGCAACCAGCCAGCCUGCUGAUGAUAAACUCUGUCUACACAAAGCCAAAUACCUUGAUCUCUUGGAGUAAAGUGAAUUUCUCUGCCAUUACUGCAUGUACGUGCACAGCACACAGUUGGAGUGAAAAGAUGCUCAGAUGAAAUUACAAAGAACAAAGCUUCAGUGUGCACACCCAUCUGCUCACUUCAAAAUAACUGUUCCCCAGUUUGGAGAUCAAGACUGUGCAUAAAAAAGUCCUUUCAACUCCCACUGGAAAGAAAAAAAUAAGAAAAAAGAAGGAAUAACUAUAAGAGAAUAAUGUCUCAACAAUCAACUGUAUUGAAUUCAACCACUGAAGACCAGGUGUGCAAAUUAGAGGCAGAACCAACAGGAAGCACUCGCUCUACACUGUAGGACGCCAGGCAAAGGAUUUGGGGUCAGAAAAAAAAUUAUAAUAAUAAAAAAAGAAAUCAUCUUCCACUGUCACAGCCCAGACCUGC
Molecule: long non-coding RNA, 696 nt
Organism: Melospiza melodia melodia
Lineage: Eukaryota; Metazoa; Chordata; Aves; Passeriformes; Passerellidae
Exons: 4
Source: RefSeq, a predicted model, not a curated record